UACGGAGGGUGCAAGCGUUAUCCGGAUUCACUGGGUUUAAAGGGUGCGUAGGCGGGCAGGUAAGUCCGUGGUGAAAUCCCCGAGCUUAACUCGGGAACUGCCAUGGAUACUAUUUGUCUUGAAUAUUGUGGAGGUAAGCGGAAUAUGUCAUGUAGCGGUGAAAUGCUUAGAUAUGACAUAGAACACCAAUUGCGAAGGCAGCUUACUACACAGUUAUUGACGCUGAGGUGCGAAAGCGUGGGGAGCAAACAGG
Molecule: ribosomal RNA, 253 nt
Filed under: uncultured bacterium
Lineage: Bacteria
Description: partial 16S ribosomal RNA
Rfam family: Bacterial small subunit ribosomal RNA
Source: RNAcentral